This 1078-nucleotide ribosomal RNA is filed under the name Ciconiphilus decimfasciatus. Its description in RNAcentral is "16S ribosomal RNA". The record is from RNAcentral. Lineage: Eukaryota; Metazoa; Arthropoda; Insecta; Psocodea; Menoponidae.
UAGUCUUUUAAAAAGUUUUUUUCUUAAAAAAAGUUUUUUUUUUUUUUAUUAUAAUUUUAGAAAAAAAAAUUAUCGUGUACUGAAAAGGAGAAAGUAUAUAGGUAAAAGUAGAAAUCGUACCUUUUGCAUCAUGGUUUAUUGAAAAAAAAAUCAAUUUUUUAAUUCCCGAAUUGAAAAGAUUUAUAAAAAUGUGAAAGUUUAUGUUUCAUAAUAAUUUUUCAUUUUUUUAUGGUAUCGAAAAGUUAUUCGUUUUUCAAGUUAUCUGGUUCUUUUGGAAAAAGAUUGAAUCUUAGAAGAUUUUUGUUAAAUUUUAUUAAAACAUUUAAUAAAAAACUUCUCAAUUUUAUGGAGUUAAGUUCAUAAAAAAAUUAAAUUAAAAAUUUUAUCUAAAUAAUAACUUUUUAGAAGAAAAAAAAUUUAUACAAAAAAUUAAUUUUUUACAAAAGUGUACAAUUUAAUAUUGAAAUUGUAUCAAUAAUAAUAAAAUUAGUAAUUUUUAUCAAUUGUAUUUUAGGAAUUCGGCAAAAAAUUCUCUGUCUGUUUACCAAAAACAUCGCCUUAUUUAAAAAUAUAAGGUAAAACCUGCUCACUGAAUAAUAUUAAAGAGCCGCAGUAUAUUGACUGUGCUAAGGUAGCAUAAUAAAUAGCAUCUUAAUUGGAUGCUGGAAUGAAAGGUUAAACAAGAGAAAAACUUUCUUAAAUAUAAAAAAAAAAAUUAAAUUUUAAGUGCAAAUGCUUAAAUAAAAUUAAAAGACGAGAAGACCCUAUAGAUCUUUACUUCUAAAAAAAAUUAAUAAUUUUUUCAAAAAGUUUAAUUGGGGUAAUUAAAAAAUACAAGAAAUUUUUUUUUAAUAUAAACUUUAUAAAAGGAUAAUAGAUCUUAAAUUAAAAUGACAAGACUAAGUUACCUUAGGGAUAACAGCGUAUUAAAAAAUUAAAAGAACUAAUUUUAAUUUGUGUUUACGACCUCGAUGUUGAAUUAAGAUUACCUUAGGGAGAAAAAAAUCUACAUGGUUAGUCUGUUCGACUAUUAAAAUCUUACAUGAUUUGAGUUCAGACCGACGUAAGUCAGGUCAGU